RNAcentral lists this ribosomal RNA (120 nucleotides) under uncultured bacterium. RNAcentral describes it as "partial 16S ribosomal RNA". It matches the Rfam family "Bacterial small subunit ribosomal RNA", at positions 215 to 334 of the family's 1533-position model. The record is from RNAcentral.
CCGCUACAGGAUGGCCUCGCGGCCUAUCAGCUUGUUGGUGGGGUAACGGCCUACCAAGGCGACGACGGGUAGCUGGCGUGAGAGCGCGACCAGCCACACUGGGACUGAGACACGGCCCAG